CCUACGGGAUGCAGCAGUGGGGAAUAUUGCGCAAUGGGCGAAAGCCUGACGCAGCAACGCCGUGUGAGGGAUGAAGGCUUUCGGGUCGUAAACCUCUGUCAGAAGGGAAGAACGGGUAAUGGUCCAAUAGGCCGUUAUUUUGACGGUACCUUCAGAGGAAGCACCGGCUAACUCCGUGCCAGCAGCCGCGGUAAUACGGAGGGUGCAAGCGUUAUUCGGAAUUACUGGGCGUAAAGCGCACGUAGGCCGCUUUGUAAGUCAGGGGUGAAAUCCCACGGCUCAACCGUGGAACUGCCCUUGA
RNAcentral lists this ribosomal RNA (301 nucleotides) under uncultured bacterium. RNAcentral describes it as "bacterial SSU rRNA". It matches the Rfam family "Bacterial small subunit ribosomal RNA", at positions 338 to 630 of the family's 1533-position model. The record is from RNAcentral.